AUGAACGCUGGCGGCGUGCCUAAUACCUGCAAGUCGAGCGCACAGACGAGGAGCUUGCUCCUCUGACGUUAGCGGCGGACGGGUGAGUAACACGUGGAUAACCUACCUAUAAGACUGGGAUAACUUCGGGAAACCGGAGCUAAUACCGGAUAAUAUAUUGAACCGCAUGGUUCAAUAGUGAAAGACGGUUUUGCUGUCACUUAUAGAUGGAUCCGCGCCGCAUUAGCUAGUUGGUAAGGUAACGGCUUACCAAGGCAACGAUGCGUAGCCGACCUGAGAGGGUGAUCGGCCACACUGGAACUGAGACACGGUCCAGACUCCUACGGGAGGCAGCAGUAGGGAAUCUUCCGCAAUGGGCGAAAGCCUGACGGAGCAACGCCGCGUGAGUGAUGAAGGUCUUCGGAUCGUAAAACUCUGUUAUUGGGGAAGAACAAAUGUGUAAGUAACUAUGCACGUCUUGACGGUACCUAAUCAGAAAGCCACGGCUAACUACGUG
This 496-nucleotide ribosomal RNA is filed under the name uncultured bacterium. RNAcentral describes it as "partial 16S ribosomal RNA". It matches the Rfam family "Bacterial small subunit ribosomal RNA", at positions 29 to 507 of the family's 1533-position model. The record is from RNAcentral.